UUUUAUCCAUUAAAACCCUGGGCAAACAUUAACUAAUCCUCUCAACCCCCUCCUGGGGUAGGUAAAUACUGUCUUGCAGGUGCAGAAACUGAGGAGGAAAAGCAACGUGAUUUGCCUAAAGCCACAGAGGGAACCAGGUGGGGAUAAAAACAGGGGAGGUGUUUUAUGGCCUGUGCCUGGGCUCCUUGUGCUCGCUGCCUCCCAGACAGCAUUGUUUUACGUGCACCCGGUGCUGGCGUCCCCUCGGUGCUACAAGGAGCCAAGCAGCCGCUGCAGCGUGCCUGCGCCCUGCAAACCUGCGAUGUCUGGGCUCGGCCCGGAGCACAGACAGGGGCAGGGGCUUUGGGGCAGGGUUCCCAGGGGCCAAGCAGCAAAAGCCUCCCGCUUUGAAGUCGGCGAGGUCUGGGCCGGUGGCUUCAAGGCGGGAUCGCAUGCCGUGAAACGCUUGUCGCGUCCAGGCUGGGGGUGCCUCUCAGGGGGCUUAGCCCCCGCCGCCCUGCCUUCAAGCGGGUGAUAAAUGUUGUCUGCAGCGCUGGACUUGUUUACCUUUGGGAUUUACACCGCAGAUAGGGCGGCGGGGCGGCCCUGUGCCUGCAGACCUGUGUCCCGACAGCCUGGCCCCACUGGCGGGGCUGCUGCCCUCUGCUCCUGGGGGCCCCAUGCUGCCUUUCCUGGGCAUCCCAGGCCUCUCUCCUUGGUGGCUAGCAUUUCAUGCACCCUCGUAGCCAGGAAUUUCUCUCUCUGUGCCUAAUCACUCCAUGCUAACCUCUCCCCUCUUUGCAGCGCGGCAGCUUGUCUCGCAGCUCGUCUUCUCGCCUCUGACCUGGCUGAGGCAGAGCCCAGGCCAUCAGAUAAAAUGCAAAGGAAAGGUUUGUGUGCCCAGCCGCUCUCACGCCGCAGGGCCAGGCCCUGCCCAGAGAUAAAGGGUGCUCCCGCGCCUCCGAGGCGGCGUCGGGAGGCUUCUGUCUGCGGCACGUUGUGCCCGGCAUCUUUUAAUUAGAGACACAUGCUUUAUUAUUCAGAAGAAUAUGCUUUCCUGGUCGUUUGUUAGGAUCUUGCAUCCAAGAGUGCUGCAGACUGCAAGCCCUGAAUUAAGCUGUACGAAGCAUAUUGAGCACCUCAGAAAAGGGGAGGCGUGGGGCGGGGGCUAUUGUCCUCUCCCCGCAUUGUGGGCAGCUCCUUCCUGAGUUGGUCCUUUCACUUGUUGGCCAGCUCGUAGGCGCUGCGGUUUGUUUCUGCCUCCAUCUGUUCCAACUUCAGUUUAUUCAGGGCUCUGUAGGUAUUGUACGCUGUGCUGCUUGCUUUUUUUUGUUGUUGUUGUUGUGGAUGGGGGAGACUCCCCUUUUCAUGGUUCACCUAUUCAUUUUGUAGAUCUCCAGCUUCCUUGUCAAGUUUUUUCUUUUGUUCUAUUAAUUGGUCUUAAGUCUACAGUCAGGUGCUGUGCGCGUGCUUCCCGUGUACACCUUAACCAUCUGCUGCCUUUCAUCUCCAUGGUGCCCAGGCCAAAUUCCAGCUCUGGCAAUGACAUCCUGCUCCCCGCGCUCUCCCCGCAGCUCUAAUUGCCUUCAGUGCUGUCCUGCCCUCACCUCCGCUCGUGGCCGGGAGAGGAGCGAGGUGCCCGCUGCCCCCGCUGCGAGGAGAAGGCAGGGCUGGAGGGAGCCUCCGCUUGGAAGGGAGAGGUGCAGGUCUCCAGCACUGAAAGCAGUUGAACGGUUUUCAAAGGCAUGCAGUGAAGUGUGUACUCUUGUGUCUGUCUGUCCUGUCCAAACGCAAGCUGACUGUAGUUCCUGGAGGAGGGCAGAGUCUCUGUGAAGAUGGUGACCUGCUCAGCAAGGUGUGAAGCAUGCAUGUGCUCAUGUAGAAAUGAUCUGCCCUGGAGGAUCUGGAGCUCAAGGAACUGAGACAGCAUCUGGAAGCACAGAGAUUCUUGCUUUACUGUAGAUGUGCGGCACAGAAGAAAUAAGCUUUCUGCUCAGCACCACAGAAGAAAGCAUCACCGUGAUGUUAACAUCAGCCCUGUGACUGAGUUCCCCUUUGCGGUGAAGCCUUCUCCUUCCCUACCGCAGCGUGGCUGAGAGGCACGGCCUUUGUCAGUACAUCUCUGCAGGGAAAACAAAUCAUCGUAAUGGCCCAAACGCUCCGGUUCUUCUGGUAAGUGGCUGUGGAAGCGGAGCUCAGUUCCCUUCCCUGGAUCGUAUUUGCUUCUGCGGAUGUGAGGGAGGAGGGCUGCUUCGCCCCACCAGACUGAAAUGAACCCGGAAGCAUGGGAGCAGGAGCUCAGCCCUGAACUUCGCUCCCCCAGAGCUGGCGCUUGACUAAAGGCCGCAGAUGAUGUCUCCUGUGCAGGCUUGGCAGUAGGCGCUGCUGGUACCAUCCCAACAGCAAUGGUUGUCUCGCUUUUAACAGGGCUAAAUAAUGGCCCUGCGUGGGUCAAAUUAAGCAACAGUUGUCUGUUCACAGCUGCCGUCAGAAGUGGUUGGUAGGUCGCUGAUCGCUCACGUGAAAUGCUCGGGGAUGAGGAACGCUUCUGCCAACAUCACCCGUGUGUUUGUACAUCUGACCUUCAGGCAGCGCAGGCAUUUACAAAGAGCAAACCACAAGCAGUGCUCCUUGCAAUCGCUGACUCCUUGGGCACGGGGAGGUGGGCAAGGGCAGCGUCUGGUGGCUUGGGCACACAGCGGGGCGCUCGGGGCAGGUGGCUGAGGGCUGCUUUUUUUGGAUGUUUCUCUUCUUCCUAGAAAGCCUGCGUGAUGAACUUUUCAGGUCGGCUGUUCCAGAAGAGCAACAAGCACGUGCUGACCUUUGCUCGCGUGAGAGCCGGCGUUAAUGAGUUACCUGCUGACCCCGGCGCCCCGCAGGAACCGCGGGCAGCCUCCGCAGAGACCCCGGCGGCUUCCCCACGGGUGGCACCUUGUUAUGCCCCAGCCCGCCCGCGCCAGCCCCGUCAGCUCAGCCCCUGGGCCCCAGAGCUGCUGUCUGCAGCUUGGACGUGACCAGGAAUCUCCUGGCCCCUGAGCUCAGUGCUGUAAGGUCUGCUGAAGCUUCUCGGCCAACUGCAAAGCCUGAAGGAAGGAGGUGAUGCUGUGUUUAGGCAUCGUGGUUUCUAGCCCUUUGUUGUUUUUUCGGUUGUUUUGUACUUUUUAAAUAGGAAUUUUACAGUUGUUUCUUUAGCUUUGUAUCUGAACAAGGCUUGUUUGGAAGCCUCCUUGCUUGUCUGGAUGGCCAAAGGAGCCUUUGCAGCGAAAAAUAAAUUUAUAAUUUCCUUUAAACGUACCCAAUAUAAUGAAAAGUAGGAAGAGAAACUGAAUUCUGGAUAGAGCCUUCCUCUUUAACGUGCAGCCUUAGUACCAGAAAAUGUCAGAAGCUGCUUCUCCCAGAACAAAGCCGAGAGGUGGCCUCUGGUUGCUGUAUGCACCUGCCUCCUCGCCGCCCCGUCCCCUGCGGGGACCCUUCAGUAUGCCUGUGCUCAAAUCCUGCUGCCCGUUCCCGGACCGUGGAGCUGCCUGUGGGAGGGCAGGGGCCGUGUGAGCCGGGCUGAGCGGGGCCUCUCCGUGGGGUGCUCACCAGAGCAGCGCUGGGGUCCCUUGGGCACAGUAGGAGCUGAGGACUGAGGGGCUUCCCCUAACAAAGCCCUUUCCAUCCGGCUCCCCGUUGGCGCAGCUUGGGACCAGCACGGCUUGGGAGCA
Long non-coding RNA from Cygnus olor (mute swan), 3686 nucleotides. RefSeq lists it as uncharacterized. Lineage: Eukaryota; Metazoa; Chordata; Aves; Anseriformes; Anatidae. The record is from RefSeq and is a predicted model, not a curated record. The transcript is spliced from 4 exons.